RNAcentral lists this transfer RNA (46 nucleotides) under Rhizogonium novae-hollandiae. RNAcentral's name for it is "partial tRNA-Phe". It matches the Rfam family "tRNA", at positions 1 to 45 of the family's 71-position model. From Rfam's summary of the family: Transfer RNA (tRNA) molecules are approximately 80 nucleotides in length. Lineage: Eukaryota; Viridiplantae; Streptophyta; Bryopsida; Rhizogoniales; Rhizogoniaceae. The record is from RNAcentral. RNAcentral also lists the same sequence under 2 other names.
GCCGGAAUAGCUCAGUUGGUAGAGCAGAGGACUGAAAAUCCUCGUU